This 33-nucleotide small RNA is filed under the name Bombyx mori (domestic silkworm). Its description in RNAcentral is "ovarian small RNA-16367". Lineage: Eukaryota; Metazoa; Arthropoda; Insecta; Lepidoptera; Bombycidae. The record is from RNAcentral.
GCACGCCGUGACGCCUGUCAAUCCAGGCCAAAA